Gossypium raimondii (Peruvian cotton) is the source of this 226-nucleotide long non-coding RNA. RefSeq lists it as uncharacterized. NCBI's taxonomy places the organism in Eukaryota, Viridiplantae, Streptophyta, Magnoliopsida, Malvales, Malvaceae. The transcript is spliced from 3 exons. The record is from RefSeq and is a predicted model, not a curated record.
UGAGCAAUGUUCUCUUGAAAGCAAUCUUUCCAUAUCGAGAUUCUGUCCCCUCUGCCCACUCUCCAACACAUCCCUUUUUGUAGAAGAACCUUGGCAGCCCAGAUACUUUUCCAGGUAAAAGAAGGGAAAUAGAAUCAGAGAUAGCGCUUCACAUCAACCAAUUGAAAAAGUGGAGGUAUCCUUGACACUCCGAAGAGAAUCAAACAAAAAUAAAAGAAAAAAUCCC